This 899-nucleotide ribosomal RNA is filed under the name uncultured bacterium. RNAcentral describes it as "bacterial SSU rRNA". It matches the Rfam family "Bacterial small subunit ribosomal RNA", at positions 60 to 990 of the family's 1533-position model. The record is from RNAcentral.
AGUCGACGAUGAAUCUUCUAGCUUGCUAGAAGUGGAUUAGUGGCGCACGGGUGAGUAAUGCAUAGGUUAUGUGCCCUUUAGUCUGGGAUAGCCACUGGAAACGGUGAUUAAUACUGGAUACUCCCUACGGGGGAAAGUUUUUCGCUAAAGGAUCAGCCUAUGUCCUAUCAGCUUGUUGGUGAGGUAAUGGCUCACCAAGGCUAUGACGGGUAUCCGGCCUGAGAGGGUGAUCGGACACACUGGAACUGAGACACGGUCCAGACUCCUACGGGAGGCAGCAGUAGGGAAUAUUGCUCAAUGGGGGAAACCCUGAAGCAGCAACGCCGCGUGGAGGAUGAAGGUUUUAGGAUUGUAAACUCCUUUUGUUAGAGAAGAUUAUGACGGUAUCUAACGAAUAAGCACCGGCUAACUCCGUGCCAGCAGCCGCGGUAAUACGGAGGGUGCAAGCGUUACUCGGAAUCACUGGGCGUAAAGAGUGCGUAGGCGGGGUAAUAAGUCAGAUGUGAAAUCCUGUAGCUUAACUACAGAACUGCAUUUGAAACUGUUACUCUGGAGUGUGGGAGAGGUAGGUGGAAUUCUUGGUGUAGGGGUAAAAUCCGUAGAGAUCAAGAGGAAUACUCAUUGCGAAGGCGACCUGCUGGAACAUUACUGACGCUGAUGCACGAAAGCGUGGGGAGCAAACAGGAUUAGAUACCCUGGUAGUCCACGCCCUAAACGAUGGAUGCUAGUUGUUGCCUUGCUUGUCAGGGCAGUAAUGCAGCUAACGCAUUAAGCAUCCCGCCUGGGGAGUACGGUCGCAAGAUUAAAACUCAAAGGAAUAGACGGGGACCCGCACAAGCGGUGGAGCAUGUGGUUUAAUUCGAAGAUACGCGAAGAACCUUACCUAGGCUUGACAUUGA